Long non-coding RNA from Syngnathus acus (greater pipefish), 151 nucleotides. RefSeq lists it as uncharacterized. The transcript has 2 exons. NCBI's taxonomy places the organism in Eukaryota, Metazoa, Chordata, Actinopteri, Syngnathiformes, Syngnathidae. The record is from RefSeq and is a predicted model, not a curated record.
ACGACUUGCAUUUCGUGGGUUUGCGUGUACACCCUGGACAGGCCAGUAACUCCCAAGGUCUCCAUUUAGAGCAAACCACUGAUUUCACAUUCACGCCAAUGGGGAAAUGUCUUAAAUUCACCUAAAAUACACGUUUGUAAUUAUGUAUAAA